This 253-nucleotide ribosomal RNA is filed under the name uncultured bacterium. RNAcentral's name for it is "partial 16S ribosomal RNA". It matches the Rfam family "Bacterial small subunit ribosomal RNA", at positions 524 to 776 of the family's 1533-position model. The record is from RNAcentral.
UACAGAGGUCUCAAGCGUUGUUCGGAUUCAUUGGGCGUAAAGGGUGCGUAGGCGGCAGGGUAAGUCUGGUGUGAAAUCCCGGGGCUCAACCCCGGAACUGCACUGGAUACUGCUUUGCUAGAGUACUGGAGAGGGAACUGGAAUUUACAGUGUAGCAGUGAAAUGCGUAGAUAUCGUAAGGAAGACCAGUGGCGAAGGCGAGUUCCUGGACAGUAACUGACGCUGAGGCACGAAGGCCAGGGGAGCAAACGGG